RNAcentral lists this ribosomal RNA (506 nucleotides) under uncultured bacterium. Its description in RNAcentral is "partial 16S ribosomal RNA". It matches the Rfam family "Bacterial small subunit ribosomal RNA", at positions 29 to 523 of the family's 1533-position model. The record is from RNAcentral.
AGUGAACGCUGGCGGUAGGCCUAACACAUGCAAGUCGAACGGCAGCACAGAGGAGCUUGCUCCUUGGGUGGCGAGUGGCGGACGGGUGAGGAAUACAUCGGAAUCUACUCUGUCGUGGGGGAUAACGUAGGGAAACUUACGCUAAUACCGCAUACGACCUACGGGUGAAAGCAGGGGAUCUUCGGACCUUGCGCGAUUGAAUGAGCCGAUGUCGGAUUAGCUAGCUGGCGGGGUAAAGGCCCACCAAGGCGACGAGCCGUAGCGGGUCUGAGGGGAUGAUCAGCCCCACUGGAACUGGGACACGUUCCAGACUCCUACGGGAGGCAGCAGUGGGGAAUAUUGGCCAAUGGGCGCAAGCCUGAUCCAGCCAUACCGCGUGGGUGAAGAAGGCCUUCGGGUUGUAAAGCCCUUUUGUUGGGAAAGAAAUCCAUCUGGUUAAUACCCGGGUGGGAUGACGGUACCCAAAGAAUAAGCACCGGCUAACUUCGUGCCAGCCGCCGCCGUAA